UCUCUCCCCCAAAUCAGUCCCUCCCCGGCCUGUGUGCGCCGCCGCCGCCGCCGCUGCCGCUCCAGAACGCUGCCUCCCCGACGACUCCCGCGCCCGUUCCAAAACCCUACGCUCGGUCCCCGGAGCUGCGUCCGUGUCCGCCGCCGCCAUUCCGCCAACCGCCGACUCGUCGCUCGUCGGUUCGCCGCCCACCCACGCGAUCGCCGGAGGAUCGGGGACCGGAUCCUAGGGCGCGCCCUCCCUCCCUUCCCAUGCCCUCCGCACCGUCGCUGCCAUGAGCCUCUCCUCUCUCUCCCGCGCCCUCGCCCGGUCCGCACGCUCCACCCGGCCGCUGCGGUAGGGUUCUCUGCUCGAGGGGUAUGCCGGGCUCCGCGCGGCGCCGACGCCGCGGCCGUCGAUGCCUGGCGGUGAUGUCAGUGGAUUGCGGUUUGUGUGUAGCUACUUGACGUCGGCGCUGGGGAGCCGUGCGGCGGCGCCCACCGGGCAAGGGAAGGUCGGGGAUUGGAGGUUCGUGCUCGCCAACUAGCAAUUCCGGCGGAUGUUCUCCGAUCGGUCCAAUAAGAGUGAGCUUUCUUUGCGGGUUCGGAUAAUCCCUUUCCGCUUUAGACUACGAGAAGUACCAUCCAAAGGAGAAGCAGGAGGAGCUGAAGGGCGAUGGGAGUGACAAGUCUGACCCCAAAAGUAAAUAGUGAGGAUUCCAAUUCAAAAUUUCAGUGGAAUUUCAAGGAGGAUGUCAUAAAAAAAAUUUCCAGGACCCCUUGCUCCUCUUCUUUUUCUUGGGCUAAUGCUGGCAACCUUACCCCAAGGUUCAUCUGCCGUGGAGGUAUGCUGCUUACUGGCAGAUCUACUAUUAAACACACUUAUAAGUUGCAAUUGUCUAUACGUUGUUUGUUUCCUAUAACACUGCAGUCUUGUGUAUUAAUUUAUCUGGUCAUGGCUGAUUACAAAAUAACACACUGCAGUCCGCAGUUGCUUUCUUGUAAGUUCUAACCAUUAUUCCCAAAAAUUUUAGACAAAAGCAUCUCUUAAUUCUGGUGUAUAAUUUCUGUGAUGAUGAUAUG
This is a long non-coding RNA of Panicum hallii, 1061 nucleotides long. RefSeq lists it as uncharacterized. The transcript is spliced from 3 exons. The record is from RefSeq and is a predicted model, not a curated record. Lineage: Eukaryota; Viridiplantae; Streptophyta; Magnoliopsida; Poales; Poaceae.